Long non-coding RNA from Cyprinus carpio carpio, 1287 nucleotides. The record is from Ensembl. Lineage: Eukaryota; Metazoa; Chordata; Actinopteri; Cypriniformes; Cyprinidae.
AAAACAUAGCUCUCAAACUAAGGGCCCACAUACUCUGAACAGACUCUAUACGCAUGCAGUAAGUGCCAAAAUAUCCACAGCCUCCUCAAGACAUUCCACAUCCACGUUCUGGUGACUCAUUCAGACUGCAUACAGCGAUGACAAAGCAUCUUAUUCUAUUGCUUGCCAUCUUGGACAUCGCCAUUAAAACAUUAAACACUGAAGAGGAGCUGAAGGAGACUGGGUUUGGAUAUCCACCUCCUCGACACGGACUCGCCCUAAUUAAGUGCAGGUUUCUGCUCCCUCCGCUGAAGGACAAACGCACGUAUAUGUACUUCACCAUAUAGGAAACCUUCACUAACGGCACUCUAAGGACCUUCCCUAUGAAGUGAGGAAAUAUUAUGAUCCACAUAACAAAAUGAGCAACAUGGACAGAGUCACUGUGAAGCUCAAUAGUAACAAGAACAAAACUAAGGAGAUCUACAUAUCAGAGCACCAAAUCCUCUCAAAACUUUUCAGUUAGGAGUCUCUCUCAUCAGUGACUUAAGACGGCACCAGAACGAAACGCAAAAGGUUUUUCCAAUAAUCUCUCAAAACAUUUUUACAUAAGAUAUUCCCCACAGCUGAGCCCAUUUGCACUUUCAGUUUACUAGAGAUUUUGUUAAGCCAGCUUUCACUUCUGGGUUUUUCUUCUGUACUAGCCCACUUUAUUCCGCUUCCUAUUUUCAUUCUCUCCAUCACAUACCACAAAACAAUUUAGUAACUUCCUCCAUGAAGCUUAAUGUGGACUUCAGACCUGGGUUUACUGUUUACAGCAAUGUGAUCAACUUUUGCCUACCUUUGGUCGUAUCUAUUAUAAAUAUGAGUUUUAAAGGUGAAGUGUGCAAUUUUUUUGUUAAUACAUUUCUUCUAUCUCAUCAAUAUGUAGCCCGAUCUCAUUUUGUAUGUUUGGAUAUACACUGAAAAAUACGAUACAAACAAACUGACAGCAUCUUAAACAUAAACAUAUUUACAUUUUCACCGCUUAAAAAAGUGACAUAUUAUAUCAUACAUAUAUUUUUGAGCCCCUAUCCUGAUCACUUCUCAACCAUAUAAAAAGAAAUUUUAUAGGCAGAUUGAUGUAUAAUUUCAAUUUUAGUGACAAAAAAAUUGUAGAGAUUUUUUUCAAAUGUGUUAUUCUGUGGUGCAGUCACAAAAGGUCUGUUGUUAAUGGUGUAGUGAAGUCACUUGUAAACCAGUCAACUUUCUGUUGGUCAGUGUGGCAAAUUUGUUUGACCAACUUGAUGCCAGUGCAAAAUCUGUGUGGGG